Molecule: ribosomal RNA, 494 nt
Filed under: uncultured bacterium
Lineage: Bacteria
Description: bacterial SSU rRNA
Rfam family: Bacterial small subunit ribosomal RNA
Source: RNAcentral
AAUGAACGCUGGCGGCGUGCCUAACACAUGCAAGUCGAACGAGAAAGCCCGCAAGGGUAAGUACAGUGGCGCACGGGUGAGUAAUACACAGGAAUCUGCCCUAGUGUGGAGAAUACCCUGGAGAAAUUCAGGUUAAUACUGCAUAAGCCCAGAAAUGGGGAAAGGUGGCCUCAAGCUACCGCACAAGGAUGAGCCUGUGGCCUAUUAGCUAGUUGGUGAGAUAAAAGCUUACCAAGGCGAAGAUGGGUAACCGGCCUGAGAGGGUGUACGGUCACACUGGAACUGAGACACGGUCCAGACUCCUACGGGAGGCAGCAGUGGGGAAUUUUGCGCAAUGGACGAAAGUCUGACGCAGCAACGCCGCGUGGGUGAUGAAGGUCUUCGGAUUGUAAAACCCUGUCGCCAGGGACGAAGGGUGGGGCGUGAAUAGCGUUCUACUUUGACGGUACCUGGAAAGGAAGCCCCGGCUAACUCUGUGCCAGCAGCCGCGGUAA